ACGGAAGGCAGCAGUGGGGAAUAUUGGACAAUGGGGGGAACCCUGAUCCAGCGACGCCGCGUGAGUGAAGAAGUAUUUCGGUAUGUAAAGCUCUAUCAGCAGGGAAGAUGAUGACGGUACCUGACUAAGAAGCACCGGCUAAAUACGUGCCAGCAGCCGCGGUAAUACGUAUGGUGCAAGCGUUAUCCGGAUUUACUGGGUGUAAAGGGAGCGUAGGCGGCUAUGCAAGUCAGGUGUGAAAACCCGGGGCUCAACUCCGGGACUGCACUUGAAACUGCGAAGCUCGAGUACGGGAGAGGCAAGUGGAAUUCCUAGUGUAGCGGUGAAAUGCGUAGAUAUUAGGAGGAACACCAGUGGCGAAGGCGGCUUACUGGACGAUAACUGACGUUGAGGCUCGAAAGCGUGGGGAGCAAACAGGAUUAGAUACCCUGGUA
This 434-nucleotide ribosomal RNA is filed under the name uncultured Lachnospiraceae bacterium. Its description in RNAcentral is "partial 16S ribosomal RNA". It matches the Rfam family "Bacterial small subunit ribosomal RNA", at positions 341 to 792 of the family's 1533-position model. Lineage: Bacteria; Bacillati; Bacillota; Clostridia; Lachnospirales; Lachnospiraceae. The record is from RNAcentral.